Molecule: ribosomal RNA, 968 nt
Filed under: Bisbaumannia pacifica
Lineage: Bacteria; Pseudomonadati; Pseudomonadota; Gammaproteobacteria; Oceanospirillales; Halomonadaceae
Description: bacterial SSU rRNA
Rfam family: Bacterial small subunit ribosomal RNA
Source: RNAcentral
AGGGGAUCUUCGGACCUUGCGCUAUCGGAUGAGCCUAUGUCGGAUUAGCUAGUUGGUGAGGUAACGGCUCACCAAGGCGACGAUCCGUAGCUGGUCUGAGAGGAUGAUCAGCCACACUGGGACUGAGACACGGCCCAGACUCCUACGGGAGGCAGCAGUGGGGAAUAUUGGACAAUGGGGGAAACCCUGAUCCAGCCAUGCCGCGUGUGUGAAGAAGGCCUUCGGGUUGUAAAGCACUUUCAGCGAGGAAGAAGGCCUGAGGGCUAAUACCCUUCAGGAAGGACAUCACUCGCAGAAGAAGCACCGGCUAACUCCGUGCCAGCAGCCGCGGUAAUACGGAGGGUGCGAGCGUUAAUCGGAAUUACUGGGCGUAAAGCGCGCGUAGGUGGCUUGAUAAGCCGGUUGUGAAAGCCCCGGGCUCAACCUGGGAACGGCAUCCGGAACUGUCAGGCUAGAGUGCAGGAGAGGAAGGUAGAAUUCCCGGUGUAGCGGUGAAAUGCGUAGAGAUCGGGAGGAAUACCAGUGGCGAAGGCGGCCUUCUGGACUGACACUGACACUGAGGUGCGAAAGCGUGGGUAGCAAACAGGAUUAGAUACCCUGGUAGUCCACGCCGUAAACGAUGUCGACUAGCCGUUGGGGUCCUUGAGACCUUUGUGGCGCAGUUAACGCGAUAAGUCGACCGCCUGGGGAGUACGGCCGCAAGGUUAAAACUCAAAUGAAUUGACGGGGGCCCGCACAAGCGGUGGAGCAUGUGGUUUAAUUCGAUGCAACGCGAAGAACCUUACCUACCCUUGACAUCGUGCGAACUUUCCAGAGAUGGAUGGGUGCCUUCGGGAACGCACAGACAGGUGCUGCAUGGCUGUCGUCAGCUCGUGUUGUGAAAUGUUGGGUUAAGUCCCGUAACGAGCGCAACCCUUGUCCCUAUUUGCCAGCGAUUCGGUCGGGAACUCUAGGGAGACUGCCGGUGA